Molecule: ribosomal RNA, 492 nt
Filed under: uncultured bacterium
Lineage: Bacteria
Description: partial 16S ribosomal RNA
Rfam family: Bacterial small subunit ribosomal RNA
Source: RNAcentral
AGUGAACGCUGGCGGUAGGCCUAACACAUGCAAGUCGAACGGCAGCACAGUAAGAGCUUGCUCUUACGGGUGGCGAGUGGCGGAUGGGUGAGGAAUACAUCGGAAUCUAAUUUUUCGUGGGGGAUAACGUAGGGACACUUACGCUAAUACCGCAUACGACCUACGGGUGAAAGCAGGGGAUCUUCGGACCUUGCGCGAUUGAAUGAGCCGAUGUCGGAUUAGCUAGUUGGCGGGGUAAAGGCACACCAAGGCGACGCUCCGUAGCUGGUCUGAGAGGAUGAUCAGCCACACUGGAACUUAGGCACGGUCCAGACUCCUACGGGAGGCAGCAGUGGGGAAUAUUGGAGAAUGGGCGGAAGCCUGAUCGAGCCAUACCGGGUGGGUGAAGGAGGCCUUCGGGUUGGAAAGACCUUUUGUUGGGAAAGAAAAGCAGCUGGAUGUUACCGCGCUGUUCUGACGGUACCCAAAGAAUAAGCACCGGGUAACUUCGUG